RNAcentral lists this transfer RNA (70 nucleotides) under Loxodonta africana (African savanna elephant). It matches the Rfam family "tRNA". From Rfam's summary of the family: Transfer RNA (tRNA) molecules are approximately 80 nucleotides in length. Lineage: Eukaryota; Metazoa; Chordata; Mammalia; Proboscidea; Elephantidae. The record is from Rfam by way of RNAcentral.
ACAGUGGUGGUUCACUGGUAGAAUUUUCGCUUUCCAUGCGAAAGAUCCAGUUUGAUUCCUGGCCAAAGCA